AUUGAACGCUGGCGGCAGGCCUAACACAUGCAAGUCGGGCGAGCGGAGUACGGGAGAGAAAUGUAUGGGGAUCUGCCUGAUGGAGGGGGAUAACAACUGGAAACGGUAGCUAAUACCGAAUAGCAUAAGCUGAACCCAUAUGGGAUUAGCUUGUAGGUAAGGUAACGGCUUACCUAGGAGACGAUCCCUAGCUGGUCUGAGAGGAUGAUCAGCCACACUGGGACUGAGACACGGCCCAGACUCCUACGGGAGGCAGCAGUGGGGAAUAUUGCACAAUGGGCGCAAGCCUGAUGCAGCCAUGCCGCGUGUAUGAAGAAGGCCUUCGGGUUGUAAAGUACUUUCAGUCGGGAGGCGUUACCGACAGAAGAAGCACCGGCUAACUCCGUGCCAGCAGCCGCGGUAAUAC
This 406-nucleotide ribosomal RNA is filed under the name uncultured bacterium. RNAcentral describes it as "partial 16S ribosomal RNA". It matches the Rfam family "Bacterial small subunit ribosomal RNA", at positions 30 to 526 of the family's 1533-position model. The record is from RNAcentral.